ACGAACGCUGGCGGCGUGCCUCAUACAUGCAAGUAGCACGCUGAAGGAAGGAGCUUGCUCUUUCUGGAUGAGUUGCGAACGGGUGAGUAACGCGUAGGUAACCUGCCUGGUAGCGGGGGAUAACUAUUGGAAACGAUAGCUAAUACCGCAUAAAAUUGAUUAUUGCAUGAUAGUCAAUUAAAAGGUGCAACUGCACCACUACCAGAUGGACCUGAGUUGUAUUAGCUAGUUGGUGGGGUAACGGCUCACCAAGGCGACGAUACAUAGCCGACCUGAGAGGGUGAUCGGCCACACUGGGACUGAGACACGGCCCAGACUCCUACGGGAGGCAGCAGUAGGGAAUCUUCGGCAAUGGACGGAAGUCUGACCGAGCAACGCCGCGUGAGUGAAGAAGGUUUUCGGAUCGUAAAGCUCUGUUGUAAGAGAAGAACGAGUGUGAGAGUGGAAAGUUCACACUGUGACGGUAUCUUACCAGAAAGGGACGGCUAACUACGUG
This 496-nucleotide ribosomal RNA is filed under the name uncultured bacterium. Its description in RNAcentral is "partial 16S ribosomal RNA". It matches the Rfam family "Bacterial small subunit ribosomal RNA", at positions 29 to 507 of the family's 1533-position model. The record is from RNAcentral.